GACGGAGGAUGCGAGCGUUAAUCGGAAUUACUGGGCGUAAAGCGUCCGCAGGCGGUUCUAUAAGACAGAUGUGAAAUCCCCGGGCUCAACCUGGGAACUGCAUUUGUGACUGCAUAGCUGGAGUGCGGCAGAGGGGGAUGGAAUUCCGCGUGUAGCAGUGAAAUGCGUAGAUAUGCGGAGGAACACCGAUGGCGAAGGCAAUCCCCUGGGCCUGCACUGACGCUCAUGCACGAAAGCGUGGGGAGCAAACAGG
This 253-nucleotide ribosomal RNA is filed under the name uncultured bacterium. Its description in RNAcentral is "partial 16S ribosomal RNA". It matches the Rfam family "Bacterial small subunit ribosomal RNA", at positions 524 to 776 of the family's 1533-position model. The record is from RNAcentral.